CUGAACUCAACGCUGUGCGAUUUUAAUUUUGGUUUCCAAAUUAUUUCAUUAGCUGGAACUCUUGGGGACGUAAUGUCCUCAACCUAUUCUCAAACUUUCAAUGGAUAUGAAGUCGCAGUUUCUUUAGUGAACUGCGGCAUGAAUGCGAGUUCCAAGUGGGCCAUUUUUGGUAAGCAGAACUGGCGCUGUGGGGUGAACCAAACGUGGAGAUAAGGUGCCUAACUUCUCGCUUAUGAGACCCCAUAAAAGGUGUAGGUUGAUAUUGGCAGCAGGACGGUGGUCAUGGAAGUCGGUACCCGCUAAGGAGGCUCUCGGACGUUUCGAAAGUGGAUGUUUCAAGAGUUUUUCUGCAUUUUGUCGUCGCGGUGCUUGAGGAAUUUCCGUCAAAAAGCUUUUUAAAAUUAUUGUGUGAAACACUGCGUCGACAAAAUCCAUAAAAGCCUUCGAAAAGUCCACUUUCGAACGUCCGGGAGCCGCUAAGGAGUGUGUAACAACUCACCUGCCGAAUCAACUAGCCCUGAAAAUGGAUGGUGCUUAAGCGAGAGACCUAUACUCCGCCGUCGUGGCAUGUGCGUUGUCUAGCGCCAGAUCGCGACGAGUAGG
Molecule: non-coding RNA, 603 nt
Filed under: Caenorhabditis japonica
Lineage: Eukaryota; Metazoa; Nematoda; Chromadorea; Rhabditida; Rhabditidae
Description: Eukaryotic large subunit ribosomal RNA
Rfam family: Eukaryotic large subunit ribosomal RNA
Source: Rfam by way of RNAcentral